This 935-nucleotide long non-coding RNA is filed under the name Salvia miltiorrhiza (redroot sage). RNAcentral describes it as "long non-coding RNA (SMIL_LNC009623)". The record is from RNAcentral. Lineage: Eukaryota; Viridiplantae; Streptophyta; Magnoliopsida; Lamiales; Lamiaceae.
UCUCUCUCUCUCGUUGCGUGCGCGCGCGCGCACACAAACGUCGCCGCUGCUCUCUCCCACUUUCUCUCCAUCAGACGCUUCUCUCCUCUCUCUCGUCUGACCGCCGGCUUCUCCGUCUGAAUCUGUCGUCGUCUCCGGUGAGCAAGGGUUCCGAUUCGCGCGAUUUAGGGGUGGUUCGCCCAGAUCUGAGGUGGCGCGACCCCAUGGCCGCCGUCUCUCUGUCUGCGCCGCGACCCCAUGGCCGUCGUCCCCUCUAUCUGCACCGCGACCCCAUGGCCGCCGCCUCUCUGGUCUGCGCCGCGACCACCGCCGACCCUUUCCUCUCUCUGAGGGUGGCGCAAUUUGGGGGUGAUUCACCUAGAUCGAGGUGAGGCUGAUGAGCUCUAGUUCUCUCAGCUUAAGCAAAAUCGUUGGAAGAGGGGUCAGGAGCAAGGGCUGGAGCCAGAAGGGAGUAGGCGGCGGUUCAGAAAGGAGUACGCGGCGGCGGCGGCGUCUGGUUUUGGGGCGAGAAACAGGGCUGAAAAUCUAAGCCUGGCCGCGAUUUGGGGGCCUAGGGAUCCAGUUGGAGCGAGCGGCGGAAAAUCGAGACAUGGGGCCGUUGAACAUCGAAGUCAGGGAGGGUUAGCGGCGGUGGGACGACCGCCGGCGCCGUUUGGUUUUGAUUGGGGUCUGAUUUGGUUUUGAGGAAAUUGGGGUCUGAUUUGGUUUUGGUUUUUGAUUUUUUUGGUUUUUUUUUGUGACAAACGAACUUGCAUAGCCAGAAAAUUUGGGGCGAUUGUCGUCGUCGGCGGCGUCGCGGUCGCCGGCGCCGGCGUCGCCGUCGGCCGGAAAAUGAGGAAGAAGAUACAGAUUUAGAUUAAAGAAAGACUUAAUUAUCUCUUUAAUUUUGUUGGACCACACUUAAUCUCCACUAACUAUCUCUUUCUUAAUCUUCG